GUGAAUGUCUCCCUGAGGAAUUCUACCUGGAGUCACUUUCUCUUCCAGUGAGACCCUGAGUUUUGAGAUGGUACAAGGCAGAAUGUUAAUUAAGUGCUAUAUUCAAAGUGAAAGUACCAGGAAAAUUCGGAAAAGGGAUAAAGAGCUGAGUUUGUCCUGGUAUAGGCAAGAAAGCCUUCGAAGUGGUGGUGGUGAAAUAAUUCGAACGUCUCCCUGGUGUUCCUUCUCCCUAACCCAUCUAUUUCAAGGUAGGGUCUCUCUCUGUUACCCAGGCUGGAGUGCAGAGGUGGGAUCACAGGUCACUGCAACCUUGACCUCCUGGGCUCAAGUGAUUCUCUCACCUCAGCCUCCCAAGUAGCUGGGACUAUGGGCACAUGCUACCACUUCUGGCUAAUUUUUUAAUUUUGAAAGUUUUUGUAGAGAUGGGGGUCUCACCAUGUUGCCCAGGCUCAUCUCAAACUCCUGGGUUCAAGCAGUCUUCCUGCCUCAGACUCCUAAAUUGCUGGGAUUACAGGCAUGAGCUACUGUACCUGGCCAACAGCUCUCUUAAGGUAUAACUGAUGUACAAUUAACUCUACAUAUUUAAAUUGUACAACUUGAACAACUUGAAUGAGUUUUGAUAUAUGUAUACACCUGUGAAACCAUCACCACAAUCAAGAUGACAAGUAUUUCCAUCACCCCAGAAUUUCCUCAUGCCCCUUUUUUAUCCUUCCUUCAUUCCUGUUCCCAGGCAUCCACUGAUCUGCUUCUGUCACUGUAGAUUAAUUUGCAUUUUCUAGAAUUUUAUAUAAAUGGAAUCAUACAGUA
RNAcentral lists this non-coding RNA (807 nucleotides) under Pan troglodytes (chimpanzee). The record is from RNAcentral. Lineage: Eukaryota; Metazoa; Chordata; Mammalia; Primates; Hominidae.